This 492-nucleotide ribosomal RNA is filed under the name uncultured bacterium. RNAcentral describes it as "partial 16S ribosomal RNA". It matches the Rfam family "Bacterial small subunit ribosomal RNA", at positions 29 to 507 of the family's 1533-position model. The record is from RNAcentral.
AGUGAACGCUGGCGGUAGGCCUAACACAUGCAAGUCGAACGGCAGCACAGUAAGAGCUUGCUCUUACGGGUGGCGAGUGGCGGACGGGUGAGGAAUACAUCGGAAUCUACUUUUUCGUGGGUGAUAACGUAGGGAAACUUCCGCUAAUACCGCAUACGACCUACGGGUGAAAGCAGUGGAUCUUCGGACCUUGCGCGAUUGAAUUAGCCGAUGUCGGAUUAGCUAGUUGGCGGGGUAAAGGCCCACCAAGGCGACGAUCCGUAGCUGGUCUGAGAGGAUGAUCAGCCACACUGGAACUGAGACACGGUCCAGACUCCUACGGGAGGCAGCAGUGGGGAAUAUUGGACAAUGGGCGCAAGCCUGAUCCAGCCAUACCGCGUGGGUGAAGAAGGCCUUCGGGUUGUAAAGCCCUUUUGUUGGGAAAGAAAAGCAGCAGGUUAAUACCCCGCUGUUCUGACGGUACCCAAAGAAUAAGCACCGGCUAACUUCGUG